GUGUGUGUGUGUGUGAUGAGUGAUCUCAUGUCGCUAAUAUGUCUCUGAUCCGGAUCAAGCACCAAAUUAGAACACACAUGCGCUUGAUCUCAUAUCAGGUUUUCUUGGCUGAUCUGAUGUGUCCUGGUAUGUUAAUUAGAACACACGUGCGCUUGAUCUCAUGUCAGGUUUUCUUGGCUGAUCUGAUGCGUUGUGUGUGUGUUCUGCAAAUAUAUACUUGCUGAUGAGCUUCAUCUUAUGCUGUUAUUAGGCUAAAGUAAUAGAGGACAGGCUUGAUUUCAACAUGUCAUUCGUUGUUGAUCCAAAAAGCGACAGCUCAGGAGAGGAGUUGUCGUUGGAAGCAGAUGACG
RNAcentral lists this long non-coding RNA (350 nucleotides) under Setaria viridis. RNAcentral describes it as "long non-coding RNA (SVIR_LNC000096)". The record is from RNAcentral. Lineage: Eukaryota; Viridiplantae; Streptophyta; Magnoliopsida; Poales; Poaceae.